ACACAUUCGUGAUCGCCUAAAGUAGUCGGCGACUCGCCGAUAGGAGUUUAUACCGCCCUUUGCAUACCCUAUUUUGCCCUCUUUCACUAUAUCUUUUGGCGGACAACCUUGUCGUCAUCGAAAAUAGUCGGCGUCUCGCCAAAUAAACUUUUUCAUCACUACUUUUCCUAGAUUUCAAGAUAAUUCCUUUGGCGAGUCCGAC
RNAcentral lists this long non-coding RNA (202 nucleotides) under Solanum tuberosum (potato). Its description in RNAcentral is "long non-coding RNA (STUB_LNC000073)". The record is from RNAcentral. Lineage: Eukaryota; Viridiplantae; Streptophyta; Magnoliopsida; Solanales; Solanaceae.